GAGACGAACAAAGGUAUUAACUUUUUUUGAUGAAGACGAGUGUCGGAGUGUGAGUGUAGAGUAAAGGAACGGCGAACGAGAGGUACGGUACCGAGAGGUACAGCGGAGGGGAAGGGAGGGAAGUGCUGAAGAAGGUGGUGGAGGGGAAGGGCCGUUCUGUAGCGGUCGGAGGAGAGGGGAGGUGCUGACAUACUGUGUACGGUGGUGCCGGAGCGCGGCGUACCAGCAGUGGCUCGAGGGGGUAGAGAUCGAUGGAAGGUAGCUGGUAAGGGAGCCGUAGUGGAGAAAGAGAGGGAGCUGUCCGUGGCCACGAGGGGAGGUAGCUGCGGCGGGGGGACGACGAGGGGAGGUCGCCGCCCCGGGAGGAUGAUGAGGGGAGGUAGCCUCCGCGGGGGAACGGCGAGGUGAGGGAGCCGGCACAGGGGGACGACGAGGGGAAGAAAACCACCGUAGCCGACGAUGAAGGAGGGAAUCAACAAGGACAACGUCGAGGGGAGAGAGUGCGGAGAGACCGGCGACCUAGGUUGCUCCUCCCCUUUUACAACGGACAGCCCAGACUGGCGGGUACGGCAGCCACAAUCCUACACCCACCCCGUUGGAGCCCGUCUCGCUUCCUUCCUUUGUCCAUUAGAGACUAAACUCUAGCUAAGAUUGAGUGUGUUCGAAUAUAACACUUCGAUUACCCUAUCUUAGUAUUGAUUGGUUACGAAACAAACAAACACCUUAGAUCUUUACGCUUGGAAAUUAUUAUCAUCUUUAUUAGAUAGAAACUAAAACGUUAAACGGUUGAGUAGUAAAGACGAUAAAAGAAGUCAACUUGGUUUUUAUAUAGAAAUGAUAAACGAAGUCAGCCUCCGAUACAUCGUCGCCACUUCCCCGACCAACACGAGGCCACUACGUCCACGUCUUCCCGUGUAAGGAAUGUCACCACGGUACCUGCAGAACAACCCUAGCUAUCCCUUCUCCAGUUCGGUCUCCGCUACGUGUUGGUAUAUCAGUACCAUGUUUGGGAUGUGUUGUGAGUGUACGGUACUGGUAGCAGUAGAACAGCCAGCUUACCUGCAUCGCCGAUGACGAGGUGGAGUCUUCGUUUACCGCUUAAAUCAAGUCUAGAACCUCGUUUCCUAACACUAAAACAUCGACGUCACCACGAUAAGAAAUGUAAAACCCGUUACCACGACUGGACACCAAAGUGGAGGGUACCGUUUGAAACCGAGCGUCCCUCUCCUAGCAGCGAAGGUGUUUAGCAGCGGGCCGGGCGGGUCUUGUUUGCUUAACUUGCCCAGCUACCCCUACCGAAGUGGAUCCUACCAUUUGAAACCGAGCGACGAUCCCCUAGGCAGAAAAGGUCCCUAGUAGGUAACAGGGCGGGUCUUGGUUGUUUAACUUGUACAGCUACACCUCAAAGCCAACGUAUGUGCCUUUCUCAUGUUGGACUAGAACUUAACGCUAUACUAAGCACAAGAUAUACCUUUUUAUCAGUAAUAUAUACCUUACCACUGACUUAUUUUUAGC
RNAcentral lists this ribosomal RNA (1515 nucleotides) under Triticum aestivum (bread wheat). Its description in RNAcentral is "partial small subunit ribosomal RNA". The record is from RNAcentral. Lineage: Eukaryota; Viridiplantae; Streptophyta; Magnoliopsida; Poales; Poaceae.